AAGAUCAACUCUUACUUAACUUACACAUGCAAGUCUCAGCACCCCCGUGAGAACGCCCUUCGGCUCCUCUAAGGAGCAAGGAGCUGGUAUCAGGCACAUAUUAAGCCCAAGACACCUAGCCAUGCCACACCCCCAAGGGAAUUCAGCAGUGAUUAACAUUAAACAUAAGCGACAGCUUGAUUCAGUUAAAGAAAAGAGAGCCGGCAAAUCUGGUGCCAGCCGCCGCGGUUACACCACGAGGCUCAAGUUGACCUUGCUCGGCGUAAAGCGUGAUUUAAGAGAUUUCCCCUGGUGUUAAAAAAGAACUAAGCCGUGACACGCUUGCCCCCUAAGAAGACCAAAACGAAAGUUACACCAUUCAUGUCAACUUGA
RNAcentral lists this ribosomal RNA (372 nucleotides) under Leptodactylus cf. wagneri C AF-2012. RNAcentral's name for it is "partial 12S ribosomal RNA". Lineage: Eukaryota; Metazoa; Chordata; Amphibia; Anura; Leptodactylidae. The record is from RNAcentral.